Molecule: ribosomal RNA, 1529 nt
Filed under: marine metagenome
Description: bacterial LSU rRNA
Rfam family: Bacterial large subunit ribosomal RNA
Source: RNAcentral
CUGUCUAUGCCUUGGGAGUGAGACAGUGGGGGAUAAGCUCCAUUGUCAAAAGGGAAACAGCCCAGACCACCAAUUAAGGUCCCUAAAUACAGGCUAAGUGUCAAAGGAAGUAUGGUCACCCAGACAACCAGGAGGUUGGCUUAGAAGCAGCCACCCUUUAAAGAGUGCGUAAUAGCUCACUGGUCAAGGGACUGUGCGCCGACAAUUUAUCGGGGCUAAAGCCUGUUACCGAAAUUGUGGCUUCCGCUUACGCGGAGGGGUAGGGGAGCGUUCUAUAUGCACUGAAGCUCAACUGUAAGGUUGGGUGGAGCGUAUAGAAGUGAGAAUGCCGGCAUGAGUAAUGUGAAGAUGCGUGAGAACCGCAUCCGCCGAAAGUCUGAGGUUUCCUACGCAACGUCGUUCGGCGUAGGGUUAGUCGGUCCUAAGUCGAGGCCGCAAGGCGUAGACGAUGGAUAGCUGGUUAAUAUUCCAGCGCCACCCAUGGAUCGUUUUAAGGCUAAGGAGGGACACGGGAAGCUAGGUAGAGCGUGCCUAUUGGACAUGGUACGUCGGAACCUGUAGGUGAUCUCGGGAUAGGAAAAUCCGUUCCGAGGCUUGAGCUGAGGGGUAAUGCGACUUUAGGGCUUAGCCCUAGGGAAGUCUAUUGAUGCUACACCGGCAAGAAAAACUUCGUAGCUAGAGUCAUGGGUGUCCGUACCGCAAACCGACACUGGUGGACUGGUAUAAAUGUACUAAGGCGGACGAGAGAACCAUCCUUAAGGAACUCGGCAAAUUGACUCCGUAACUUUGGGAGAAGGAGUGCCCUGGGACGUGUACCCCCUUGCGGGAGAAGCGUUUUGGGGUCGCAGAUAAGAGGCUCUGGUGACUGUUUAACAAAAACACAGGUCCCUGCUUAAGUCGUAAGACGAUGUAUAGGGGCUGACGCCUGCCCAGUGCCGGAAGGUCAAGAGGCGCGGUGAGAGCUGCAAAUCGAAGCCCCGGUGAACGGCGGCCGUAACUAUAACGGUCCUAAGGUACCGAAAUCCCUUGUCAGGUAAGUUCUGACCCGCAGGAAAGGCGUAACAACUGGAGCGCUGUCUCAAGGAUGGUCUCGAUGAAAUUGAAGUACGAGUGAAGAUGCUCGUUACCCGCAGCAGGACAAAAAGACCCCGUGGAGCUUUACUGCAACCUGACAUUGAUCCGAGGAUACAGUUGUGUAGCAUAGGUGGGAGGCUAUGAAACUCAGACGCCAGUUUGAGCGGAGCCAUCGUUGAAAUACCACUCUUCUCUGUUUUUGGAUCUAACCCCUGAACAAGCAGGGGAACCGUGUCUGGCGGGCAGUUUGACUGGGGCGGUCGCCUCCCAAAAAGUAACGGAGGCGUGCAAAGGUUCCCUCAGGGUGGAUGGAAAUCACCCGCAGAGCGCAUUGGUAGAAGGGAGCUUGACUGCGAGGCCUACAAGCCAAGCAGGGACGAAAGUCGGCCAAAGUGAUCCUACGGUCCCGUGUGGAAGGGCCGUGGCUUAUCGGAUAAAAGCUACCCCGGGGAUAA